UGUAAGCGGGGAAUAACCCGUUGAAAGACGGACUAAUACCGCAUAAUACUAAAUUACUGCAUGGUAAUUUAUUUAAACAUUUAUGGCUUACAGAUGGGCAUGCGCAUGAUUAGCUAGUUGGAGAGGUAACGGCUCCCCAAGGCAACGAUCAUUAGGGGUUCUGAGAGGAAGGUCCCCCACACUGGUACUGAGACACGGACCAGACUCCUACGGGAGGCAGCAGUGAGGAAUAUUGGUCAAUGGACGAGAGUCUGAACCAGCCAAGUCGCGUGCAGGAAGAAUGUUCCCUAUGGAUUGUAAACUGCUUUUGCAGGGGAAUAAAGUGCAUCACGUGUGAUGUUUUGUAUGUACUCUGCGAAUAAGGAUCGGCUAACUCCGUGCCAGCCGCCGC
RNAcentral lists this ribosomal RNA (391 nucleotides) under uncultured bacterium. Its description in RNAcentral is "bacterial SSU rRNA". It matches the Rfam family "Bacterial small subunit ribosomal RNA", at positions 131 to 518 of the family's 1533-position model. The record is from RNAcentral.